UCCCCAGGCGGUCUACUUAUCGCGUUAGCUGCGCCACUAAAGCCUCAAAGGCCCCAACGGCUAGUAGACAUCGUUUACGGCAUGGACUACCAGGGUAUCUAAUCCUGUUUGCUCCCCAUGCUUUCGUACCUCAGCGUCAGUAUUAGGCCAGAUGGCUGCCUUCGCCAUCGGUAUUCCUCCAGAUCUCUACGCAUUUCACCGCUACACCUGGAAUUCUACCAUCCUCUCCCAUACUCUAGCUUCCCAGUAUCGAAUGCAAUUCCCAAGUUAAACUCGGGGAUUUCACAUCCGACUUAAAAAGCCGCCUACGCACGCUUUACGCCCAGUAAAUCCGAUUAACGCUCGCACCCUCUGUAUUACCGCGGCUGCUGGCACAGAGUUAGCCGGUGCUUAUUCUGCGAGUAACGUCCACUAUCCAGUAGUAUUAAUACUAGUAGCCUCCUCCUCGCUUAAAGUGCUUUACAACCAAAAGGCCUUCUUCACACACGCGGCAUGGCUGGAUCAGGCUUCCGCCCAUUGUCCAAUAUUCCCCACUGCUGCCUCCCGUAGGAGUCUGGGCCGUGUCUCAGUCCCAGUGUGGCGGAUCAUCCUCUCAGACCCGCUACAGAUCGUCGCCUUGGUAGGCCUUUA
RNAcentral lists this ribosomal RNA (630 nucleotides) under uncultured Acinetobacter sp. RNAcentral describes it as "partial 16S ribosomal RNA". Lineage: Bacteria; Pseudomonadati; Pseudomonadota; Gammaproteobacteria; Moraxellales; Moraxellaceae. The record is from RNAcentral.